RNAcentral lists this ribosomal RNA (497 nucleotides) under uncultured bacterium. RNAcentral's name for it is "partial 16S ribosomal RNA". It matches the Rfam family "Bacterial small subunit ribosomal RNA", at positions 28 to 507 of the family's 1533-position model. The record is from RNAcentral.
GAUGAACGCUGGCGGCGUGCCUAAUACAUGCAAGUCGAGCGAACGGACGAGAAGCUUGCUUUUCUGAUGUUAGCGGCGGACGGGUGAGAAACACGUGGAUAACCUACCUAUAAGACUGGGAUAACUUCGGGAAACCGGAGCUAAUACCGGAUAAUAUUUUGAACCGCAUGGUUCAAAAGUGAAAGACGGUCUUGCUGUCACUUAUAGAUGGAUCCGCGCUGCAUUAGCUAGUUGGUAAGGUAACGGCUUACCAAGGCAACGAUGCAUAGCCGACCUGAGAGGGUGAUCGGCCACACUGGAACUGAGACACGGUCCAGACUCCUACGGGAGGCAGCAGUAGGGAAUCUUCCGCAAUGGGCGAAAGCCUGACAGAGCAACGCCGCGUGAGUGAUGAAGGUCUUCGGAUCGUAAAACUCUGUUAUUAGGGAAGAACAUAUGUGUAAGUAACUGUGCACAUCUUGACGGUACCUAAUCAGAAAGCCACGGCUAACUACGUG